GAGUCUGAGACGUCAAGGCCUCAUAUCCUCCAACCUUUUCUCCAGCUUCACUAGUACGAGUAGCAGCAGAUUGAGAGGAAGGGAAGGGGAAGCAGGAAGUGCUCAUCAUGAAUGUAGCAGCAGCAGCAAAAACACUCUUCAAUUACCCAUCCUCACCAUCAUCAUCAUCAAAGUCAGCUAGUAUUUCACUAUUUUCGUCUUACUCUUCAACAUCUUUUUCGUCCUCUCUUUGCCGUCCAGCCACUUUCUUUCUUCGAAACCUUAACCUCAUUUCUCAUUCUUCUCCUCCUCACUUAACAUCAUCAUUAGUAAUUGAACAAAAAUCCAGCACCACUGAAUCCAAUACUACUUCCACAACUAGUACUUCUACUGUAGAAGAAGUAGAUAAACAAGAAAAAGAAGAAACAAGUUCAUCUUCAAAAUCUGUAUCUCGUCGUCUCAUUCUUCUUCGCCAUGCUCAAAGUUCUUGGAAAGACCGUUCUUUACGAGAUCACAAUCGGCCUCUGAGUGAUGACGGGCGCGUUGAUGCUAUCACUGUUUCGAACAAACUUCAACAGUUGGGUUGGUUACCUCAGCUUAUUUUAUCUAGCGAUGCCACUCGGACACGGGAAACACUCAAAAUUAUGCAGGAGCAAGUCAAAAGUUUUUUAGAAGCUGAGGUGCACUUCAUCUCGAGCUUCUAUUCUAUAGCAGCAAUGGAUGGACAGACUGCUGAUCACCUUCAACAAGCUAUAUGUCAAUAUUCGAAGGACGAGAUAUUCACGGUGAUGUGUAUGGGACAUAACAGAGGAUGGGAGGAGGCAGCUUCAAUGCUUUCUGGUACCGCAAUAGAAUUGAAAACAUGCAAUGCUGCUUUGCUUGAAGCUCCUGGGAAAUCAUGGGAAGAGGCAUUUGCUUUGGCUGGACUUGGUGGGUGGAAUCUUCAUGGCAUUGUAAAACCCAGCUAAAUUGUCCCCAGAUGUUGGCAGUACAAGUAAUGAUCAAGUCCAAUCUUUCUGGCACAAGGUACUACUCAUGAAAAAUCUCUCCCAUCUUAGGCUUGAGGUACAAGCACCUGGAAAGUAAACAGGACAGCGUCUUCUCAAGGUUUUUUGGAGGAACUACUCUCGGACUGUCUUUAGUGGAUGUUUUAAAAAACUAUUACAGCCCAACCAAUGUUAUUCCCCUAACUUUCUACUGUAUACUUUUUGAUCUGUGAAUGAGCGUUAAGAGAAUAACUACAAGAUUAAUCCAACUACAAGGGGAAGGUUUCA
Molecule: RNA transcript, 1253 nt
Organism: Papaver somniferum (opium poppy)
Lineage: Eukaryota; Viridiplantae; Streptophyta; Magnoliopsida; Ranunculales; Papaveraceae
Exons: 6
Source: RefSeq, a predicted model, not a curated record